CUCACAACAAUCCUCCUGCCUCAGCCUCCCAAGUGUUGGCAUUACAGGCGUGCACCACCAAGCCCAGCAGUGAUUGAAUAAAUCUUGUUUCUAAAUAAUCAUUCGAUCUGUUUGCCAACAUGUUAUCUCACACAAGUGGGUCCCUGUUGGAGGAAAAAGCUGCUGCUGCAGAUCAGCAUAGAGGACUGCCCUCCUAAAGCCUGGAAAAGUCCACCAUGCCCCCAUAGGCUGCUCUGGUAGACGCCCCACAUCCAGCCAGUGAUGACCUUUAUACAUCAAGCUCAGCCUGGUCAACUCUGCAAAGCAAGGAAGGAGCACAGAAAAAUGGGAAGAGCCACAGACAAAACACAAUUUUCCAGGAAAUCUCCCUAGCGAACUUCUCCCACCCAAGCCCCACUGCCUUACAGCACACCCUGCUGCUCAACUUAUCAAUGGGUGAAUCCACCAAAAACUGUAAGUCCACAGAAUCCAAUCAAGUUUUAACACAAAAGAUAUUUGGGGGAUAUUUUACCCAUAAGCCAUAACACCAGGUCUGCUGUUGAAAGAAAAGUCAGGGGACACAAGCCAGCCCAGUGCCACUCAGACACAAACAUCACACAAGAGUCAGCAGCUCCACCAAAACUAUACAGCUGUCAGGGCCCAAUAGGAUGAUAAGUGGGGGAGCACGUCCUGAGCAGCCCAUGACAGUGCUUUGGACAUGCUUAAGUCACCUCAUUUGCACAGCACAGGAUGCUGAGGGCCUGGCAGUUUCUGUGCCUUACCCUGAGAGCCAGCAAAGACCAAGGGCAUAAAAGCAGCAGCUGACAUACAGGAACAAGACUCCUCAGUUGAUGCAGAGGUCUAGGUCCUGGAAAGGCUGCUUCUGUCAAUAUGUCACUGACUUUAGGCCUCCACCAGAGAUUCACUCCUGUCUUGGGUCACUGGAACUGGUAUAUCACCAUUUAUAGGAUUAGGGACAUCUCAAGGCCCUUCCCAGUCAACCUGCCAUGAGGAAAUGUCUCAGAACCAGCCUGUGUGAGGCACCUACAGCGGCUUUCCGCAACACACUGGGAACUUCUCACUUGGGUUCCUGACAGAGGAUUCGUCUCUCUGGACAGCGUGCCUGCUUGGACAGUUCACAGGGCGCCAACCUUGCUUCACUGCUGCACUGCCAUUCCACUGUCUGCCCUCUGAGCCAAAAAAAGACAAGAGAGAAUAUACACUGCCUCUUUGAGAGGAACACAAGUGAUAGAGGACAACAAAAAUCCUUUCUAACACAGGCUUCCUCCCAGAAUAUUGACUUCAGCCAGCAUGAGGAAUCAAAGCAUUUGCUCCAAGAUUUCCAAGAGCUGCCACUGUCUUUCUGUACUCAAAAGGGCUCUUGCUAAUUGCUGUCUUGACAAUCAGGUUCAAAGUUUGGCUCUGCACUUCCAGAUUCAAUGUCAUGUGGAAGAAACUACCAAAUCAGAAGAGGUAGAGGUUCUCAGGCCAGGGCAGGACAGAAUGGAAUAGAAGGAAAGCUUUAAAGCCGGCAGAGAACAGAAAUUCAAACGAGGCCCUUGAUUUCAUUGUGUAGCCUUUUAUACACCUUUUCUCUUAAUCUACUUAUUUUCAGGAAAGAAUACAUGCAUAUACUUAAAAGAGAAUAUAAUUAGCUAAUACAUGAAAAACAGGCAUAAUAUAUUAACAGUAUUCUGCAAAAUGAAUUAAAAUGAAAGAAAAGAAACAUUUCAACUGCCUCAGAAAAAUAAACUCCUUCAUCAACAUCACACACACACCAAAGCUGAAUUCUGAGUACUGACCCUGUUCUCUACCACACAGACCAGAAUGACUGUUGAAAAGUAGCAGCACCCUCAAUCAGGUCCUAAUGAUGAGACAUAGUCACCUAAGAAUUUAACAUAGUAAACUCGCUAUAGUAUAAUUCACUCUCUUCGAAGUUUGAAAGCCUUGCCUUCUUCUACUCAUUUAUUUCAUCAAAGUUCAGGUCUGAACCACAGUCCUGUGACAGGUCAUUUUGAGAAUCAGUCUGAUAGGCUUGCAAAAUCCCAGGGAUCUUAGUAGAGCAGUUCUGGGUGGAAGCACAAACCUCCAUCUGCACAUGACAUAGCUUUAUCCCAACCUUCUGCAAUUUGUCACAGUCAGCAGUCUUUCUAGAGAGCUGCAAUAUGUACAAUAAUUUUUUUUUGCAUCCCAGAGUCCAAGAAGUAGGAGUACAUAGCCGUUCUAGUGCUUUUCAAGAAGAGCCCCUUUUUUUUUUUUUUUUUUUUGGUACUGGGAAUUGAACUUAGGACCUUGCACUUGCCAGGCAGGCACUUAUGCCAUUCAGCUAUAUCCCUGGCCCAAGAGCCCUUUUUUUCCUUGUGUGUUUACAAAUAAAGUAGAGAGAAAAUAUUGUGAGAUAUUAUUCCUUAUUAGAAAACGGAUGUGUGAAUUGUAACACAGUGUUAUAGAUACAAAUUUAAGUUAGAAUUUCUGGAAAGCAAAGAUGUCAGUUUAUGAAAUUAAAAUGCAGAUAGAAACUUA
Molecule: long non-coding RNA, 2502 nt
Organism: Chinchilla lanigera (long-tailed chinchilla)
Lineage: Eukaryota; Metazoa; Chordata; Mammalia; Rodentia; Chinchillidae
Exons: 2
Source: RefSeq, a predicted model, not a curated record